AGAGUUUGAUUAUGGCUCAGAUUGAACGCUGGCGGCAUGCCUUACACAUGCAAGUCGAACGGCAGCGGACCUUCGGGUGCCGGCGAGUGGCGAACGGGUGAGUAAAGUAUCGGAACGUACCCUAGAGUGGGGGAUAACUCUCCGAAAGGAGGGCUAAUACCGCAUAUUCUAUGCGUAGGAAAGCAGGGGACCUUCGGGCCUUGUGCUCUAGGAGCGGCCGAUAUCAGAUUAGGUAGUUGGUGGGGUAAAGGCCUACCAAGCCGACGAUCUGUAGCGGGUCUGAGAGGAUGAUCCGCCACACUGGAACUGAGACACGGUCCAGACUCCUACGGGAGGCAGCAGUGGGGAAUUUUGGACAAUGGGCGCAAGCCUGAUCCAGCCAUGCCGCGUGAGUGAAGAAGGCCUUCGGGUUGUAAAGCUCUUUCGGCCGGGAAGAAAUCGCGUGGGCUAAUAUCCUGCGUGGAUGACGGUACCGGAAUAAGAAGCACCGGCUAACUACGUGCCAGCAGCCGCGGUAAUACGUAGGGUGCGAGCGUUAAUCGGAAUUACUGGGCGUAAAGCGUGCGCAGGCGGUUUUUUAAGAUAGGCGUGAAAUCCCCGGGCUCAACCUGGGAACUGCGCUUAUGACUGGAAGACUCGAGUAUGGCAGAGGGGGGUGGAAUUCCACGUGUAGCAGUGAAAUGCGUAGAGAUGUGGAGGAACACCGAUGGCGAAGGCAGCCCCCUGGGCCAAUACUGACGCUCAUGCACGAAAGCGUGGGGAGCAAACAGGAUUAGAUACCCUGGUAGUC
RNAcentral lists this ribosomal RNA (790 nucleotides) under uncultured Azonexus sp. Its description in RNAcentral is "bacterial SSU rRNA". It matches the Rfam family "Bacterial small subunit ribosomal RNA", at positions 8 to 795 of the family's 1533-position model. The record is from RNAcentral. Lineage: Bacteria; Pseudomonadati; Pseudomonadota; Betaproteobacteria; Rhodocyclales; Azonexaceae.